UACGGAGGGUGCAAGCGUUUAUCCGGAUUUACUGGGUUUAAAGGGUGUGUAGGCGGACUUUUUAAGUCAGCGGUGAAAUCUCCGGGCUCAACCCGGAAACUGCCAUUGAUACUAUUGGUCUUGAAUGUUGUUGAGGUGGGCGGAACGGGUCAUGUAGCGGUGAAAUGCAUAGAUAUGACCCGGAACACCGAUUGCGAAGGCAGCCCACUAAGCAAUGAUUGACGCUGAGGCACGAAAGCGUGGGGAUCAAACAGG
This 255-nucleotide ribosomal RNA is filed under the name uncultured bacterium. RNAcentral's name for it is "partial 16S ribosomal RNA". It matches the Rfam family "Bacterial small subunit ribosomal RNA", at positions 524 to 776 of the family's 1533-position model. The record is from RNAcentral.